UCGAACGAUGAACCACUUCGGUGGGGAUUAGUGGCGAACGGGUGAGUAACACGUGGGCAAUCUGCCCUGCACUCUGGGACAAGCCCUGGAAACGGGGUCUAAUACCGGAUAACACUUCGGGCCUCAUGGUCUGUGGUUAAAAGCUCCGGCGGUGCAGGAUGAGCCCGCGGCCUAUCAGCUUGUUGGUGAGGUAAUGGCUCACCAAGGCGACGACGGGUAGCCGGCCUGAGAGGGCGACCGGCCACACUGGGACUGAGACACGGCCCAGACUCCUACGGGAGGCAGCAGUGGGGAAUAUUGCACAAUGGGCGAAAGCCUGAUGCAGCGACGCCGCGUGAGGGAUGACGGCCUUCGGGUUGUAAACCUCCUUUCAGCAGGGAAGAAGCGAAAGUGACGGUACCUGCAGAAGAAGCGCCGGCUAACUACGUGCCAGCAGCCGCGGUAAUACCGUA
This 452-nucleotide ribosomal RNA is filed under the name Streptomyces sp. E21. RNAcentral describes it as "bacterial SSU rRNA". It matches the Rfam family "Bacterial small subunit ribosomal RNA", at positions 62 to 529 of the family's 1533-position model. The record is from RNAcentral. Lineage: Bacteria; Bacillati; Actinomycetota; Actinomycetes; Kitasatosporales; Streptomycetaceae.